UACAGAGACUGCAAGCGUUAUUCGGAUUCACUGGGCGUAAAGGGUGCGCAGGCGGCCGUGUGUGUCAGGUGUGAAAUCCCGGGGCUCAACCCCGGAACUGCGCCUGAAACUACAUGGCUAGAGUAUUGGAGAGGGUAGCGGAAUUCACGGUGUAGCAGUGAAAUGCGUAGAUAUCGUGAGGAACACCAGAGGCGAAGGCGGCUACCUGGACAAUUACUGACGCUCAGGCACGAAAGCGUGGGGAGCAAAAGGG
RNAcentral lists this ribosomal RNA (253 nucleotides) under uncultured bacterium. RNAcentral's name for it is "partial 16S ribosomal RNA". It matches the Rfam family "Bacterial small subunit ribosomal RNA", at positions 524 to 776 of the family's 1533-position model. The record is from RNAcentral.